GAUGAACGCUAGCGGGAGGCUUAACACAUGCAAGUCGAGGGGCAGCAUAGGGUAGCAAUACUCUGAUGGCGACCGGCAAACGGGUGAGUAACGCGUAUGCAACCUACCCUGUACAGGGGGAUAACCCGGAGAAAUUCGGACUAAUAUCCCGUAAUAAUAUCCGGAGGCAUCUUUGGAUAUUUAAAGUUUCGACGGUACGGGAUGGGCAUGCGUAACAUUAGCUGGUUGGUAAGGUAACGGCUUACCAAGGCUAUGAUGUUUAGGGGUCCUGAGAGGGUGGUCCCCCACACUGGUACUGAGACACGGACCAGACUCCUACGGGAGCAGCAGUGAGGAAUAUUGGUCAAUGGGCGCAAGCCUGAACCAGCCAUCCCGCGUGCAGGAAGACGGCCCUAUGGGUUGUAAACUGCUUUUCCAGGGAGAGAAACUUACGCACGUGUUGCGUGACUGACGGUACCCUGGGAAUAAGCAUCGGCUAACUCCGUGCCAGCAGCCGCGGUAAUAGUGU
Molecule: ribosomal RNA, 508 nt
Filed under: uncultured bacterium
Lineage: Bacteria
Description: bacterial SSU rRNA
Rfam family: Bacterial small subunit ribosomal RNA
Source: RNAcentral